This 730-nucleotide ribosomal RNA is filed under the name uncultured bacterium. Its description in RNAcentral is "bacterial SSU rRNA". It matches the Rfam family "Bacterial small subunit ribosomal RNA", at positions 771 to 1501 of the family's 1533-position model. The record is from RNAcentral.
AACAGGAUUAGAUACCCUGGUAGUCCACGCUGUAAACGAUGUCGACUUGGAGGUUGUUCCCUUGAGGAGUGGCUUCCGGAGCUAACGCGUUAAGUCGACCGCCUGGGGAGUACGGCCGCAAGGUUAAAACUCAAAUGAAUUGACGGGGGCCCGCACAAGCGGUGGAGCAUGUGGUUUAAUUCGAUGCAACGCGAAGAACCUUACCUACUCUCGACAUCCAGAGAACUUAGCAGAGAUGCUUUGGUGCCUUCGGGAACUCUGAGACAGGUGCUGCAUGGCUGUCGUCAGCUCGUGUUGUGAAAUGUUGGGUUAAGUCCCGCAACGAGCGCAACCCUUAUCCUUUGUUGUCAGCGGUUCGGCCGGGAACUCAAAGGAGACUGCCAGUGAUAAACUGGAGGAAGGUGGGGAUGACGUCAAGUCAUCAUGGCCCUUACGAGUAGGGCUACACACGUGCUACAAUGGCAUAUACAAAGAGAAGCGACCUCGCGAGAGCAAGCGGGCCUCAUAAAGUAUGUCGUAGUCCGGAUUGGAGUCUGCAACUCGACUCCAUGAAGUCGGAAUCGCUAGUAAUCGUGGAUCAGAAUGCCACGGUGAAUACGUUCCCGGGCCUUGUACACACCGCCCGACACACCAUGGGAGUGGGUUGCAAAAGAAGUAGGUAGCUUAACCUUCGGGAGGGCGCUUGCCACUUUGUGAUUCAUGACUGGGGUGAAGUCGUAACAAGGUAACC